This is a long non-coding RNA of Oncorhynchus tshawytscha (Chinook salmon), 370 nucleotides long. Lineage: Eukaryota; Metazoa; Chordata; Actinopteri; Salmoniformes; Salmonidae. The record is from Ensembl.
GAAGAGACAGGGGUGGAGAGAGAGAGAGGAAGAGACAGGGGUGGAGAGAGAGAGAGAGAGGAAGAGAUAGGGAUGAGAGAGAGGAAGAGACAGGGAUGAGAGAGAGAGGAAGCGACGGGGGUGGAGAGAGAGAGAGAGGAAGAGACAGGGGUGGAGAGAGAGAGAGGAAGCGACGGGGUGGAGAGAGAGAGGGGAAGCGACAGGGGUGGAGAGAGAGAGGGGAAGCAACAGGGGUGGAGAGAGAGAGAGGAAGCGACAGGGGUGGAGAGAGAGAGAGAGGAAGAGACAGGGGUGGAGAGAGAGAGAGAGGAAGAGACAGGGAUGGAGAGAGAGAGAGAAAGAGACAGGGAUGGAGAGAGAGAGGAAGAGA